UUUAAGUUUGAAACUAUAAAAUUUGAACAUAUCAAAAAGUUACAUUCAAUUUAAAUUGAACCCACGACUUCUCCUCAAUAAGGUAAGCCUUUUACCACUUGACCAAACUUAUUCUUUUUCAAUGUUUCUCAUUUAAAUUUAUAUAUUACAAAACUAUGUAAAAUUAUCUUUUAUAUAUCCGAACUACGAAUGCUCUGAUUUCCUUAUUGGCCCAGAAGGAUACGUAGGCACGAGAUUGCGAUAUCUUGGCGAGCACGCUAAUAAAAAACCUAAAUUUUCCUCUUUUGAGGUUUCUAUUCGUUUCUCUUUUCAAUCUUUUAUUCGCUUGAAGGAAACAAAUAACAUUACUAACAUUCAAAUCGCAAAUUUAACUAAAAGUUUCUCAUUGAGUACAACGGACGUGAG
RNAcentral lists this long non-coding RNA (405 nucleotides) under Lathyrus oleraceus (garden pea). RNAcentral's name for it is "Pisum sativum (pea) long non-coding RNA (PSAT_LNC009308)". Lineage: Eukaryota; Viridiplantae; Streptophyta; Magnoliopsida; Fabales; Fabaceae. The record is from RNAcentral.